GAUGAACGCUGGCGGCGUGCUUAACACAUGCAAGUCGAACGGUGAAGGCGGAGCUUGCUCUGCUGGAUCAGUGGCGAACGGGUGAGUAACACGUGAGCAAUCUGCCCCUGACUCUGGGAUAAGCGCUGGAAACGGCGUCUAAUACUGGAUACGAGCUGCGAAGGCAUCUUCAGCAGCUGGAAAGAAUUUCGGUCAGGGAUGAGCUCGCGGCCUAUCAGCUUGUUGGUGAGGUAAUGGCUCACCAAGGCGUCGACGGGUAGCCGGCCUGAGAGGGUGACCGGCCCCACUGGGACUGAGACACGGCCCAGCCUCCUACGGGAGGCAGCAGUGGGGAAUAUUGCACAAUGGGCGAAAGCCUGAUGCAGCAACGCCGCGUGAGGGACGACGGCCUUCGGGUUGUAAACCUCUUUUAGCAGGGAAGAAGCGAAAGUGACGGUACCUGCAGAAAAAGCGCCGGCUAACUACGUG
This 468-nucleotide ribosomal RNA is filed under the name uncultured bacterium. Its description in RNAcentral is "partial 16S ribosomal RNA". It matches the Rfam family "Bacterial small subunit ribosomal RNA", at positions 28 to 507 of the family's 1533-position model. The record is from RNAcentral.